UAGGAUAUUUGGUUCUCUUCCCCCCUCAGGCUGCAAAGAAAGCAGGGUUGUCCUCAGACAAAAGCCAGGAGCUUCUGAAAAUGAGCACCUCACCUGAGAUAAAGAAUCGCCUGAGAGAGACAAUGGAUGAAGUCCUGAAGUUUGGGGCAUUUGGACUGCCAAGUUUUGUUAUCCAGAUUGAUGGACAACCUCAGCUUUUCUUUGGCUCAGAUCGUAUAGAACUACUAGGAAAUGUUUUGGGAGAGAAGUGGCUGGGACCAGUUCCCACAUCAUCUAAGCUCUAGUUCUCAGGAGCAAUGAGAAAAAUAAGCAACCUAAUAAAAUGAUAAACAUCUUAUCCUUCCUACUUUUACAAGAUGACAGGCCAGCUUAAUAUAAAAGAUCAUAAUAAUUGUCUUCAAAUACCAUGCAGCUGGCAAGAUUGAAGCUCUCAGAGCAGUUUUAUACCCCUUCUUGCAACCUGAGUACCAGGAUCUAGGUGGCUCUAAAGGUAGUGAAUUGUCAUGGAAAGGUCCAGGAGUUGAGUUCCUAGUAGAAUAUCAUCUGUUACCUGCGAUUGAUGAUUUCCCCAAAAGAUGAAACUGGUCACCUAGUAGUCAAGGUAACUGACAAUUCCCAUGCGUUAGGAGUUUUCAGUAUUUAGGAUGCUUACCUGCAAGUAUUAUUUGCUCUCUUUCACCCUCUACCCCAGCCAUCACAGCAAUAAGCUAUAAUAAGUCUAGUUGAGAAAAGCACCUAUCUGUAAAAAAAUUUCUGGAUUACUUUUCACCAUCAUUCUCCAUCAU
Molecule: non-coding RNA, 785 nt
Organism: Notechis scutatus (mainland tiger snake)
Lineage: Eukaryota; Metazoa; Chordata; Lepidosauria; Squamata; Elapidae
Source: RefSeq, a predicted model, not a curated record